RNAcentral lists this ribosomal RNA (485 nucleotides) under uncultured Glomeromycotina. RNAcentral describes it as "SSU rRNA". It matches the Rfam family "Eukaryotic small subunit ribosomal RNA", at positions 562 to 1052 of the family's 1831-position model. Lineage: Eukaryota; Fungi; Glomeromycota. The record is from RNAcentral.
UGGUGCCAGCAGCCGCGGUAAUUCCAGCUCCAAUAGCGUAUAUUAAAGUUGUUGCAGUUAAAAAGCUCGUAGUUGAAUUUCGGGAUUAGUACGUUGGUCGUGCCUUAGGUACGUACUGGUGUUACUGGUUCCUACCUUCUGACGAACCAUCAUGUCAUUAAUUUGGUGUGGCGGGGAAUCAGGACUGUUACUUUGGAAAAAUUAGAGUGUUUAAAGCAGGCUCGCGCUUGAAUACAUUAGCAUGGAAUAAUGAAAUAGGACGUUGACCCUAUUUUGUUGGUUUCUAGGAUUGACGUAAUGAUUAAUAGGGAUAGUUGGGGGCAUUAGUAUUCAAUUGUCAGAGGUGAAAUUCUUGGAUUUAUUGAAGACUAACUACUGCGAAAGCAUUUGCCAAGGAUGUUUUCAUUAAUCAAGAACGAAAGUUAGGGGAUCGAAGACGAUCAGAUACCGUCGUAGUCUUAACCAUAAACUAUGCCGACUAGGGA